UUUGAUCCUGGCUCAGAUUGAACGCUGGCGGCAUGCCUUACACAUGCAAGUCGAACGGUAACGCGGGGCAACCUGGCGACGAGUGGCGAACGGGUGAGUAAUGCAUCGGAACGUGCCCAGUAGUGGGGGAUAGCCCGGCGAAAGCCGGAUUAAUACCGCAUACGACCUACGGGUGAAAGGGGGGGAUCGCAAGACCUCUCGCUAUUGGAGCGGCCGAUGUCAGAUUAGGUAGUUGGUGGGGUAAAGGCCUACCAAGCCGACGAUCUGUAGCUGGUCUGAGAGGACGACCAGCCACACUGGGACUGAGACACGGCCCAGACUCCUACGGGAGGCAGCAGUGGGGAAUUUUGGACAAUGGGCGCAAGCCUGAUCCAGCCAUGCCGCGUGCGGGAAGAAGGCCUUCGGGUUGUAAACCGCUUUUGUCAGGGAAGAAAUCUUCUGGGUUAAUACCUCGGGAGGAUGACGGUACCUGAAGAAUAAGCACCGGCUAACUACGUGCCAGCAGCCGCGGUAAUAC
This 517-nucleotide ribosomal RNA is filed under the name uncultured bacterium. RNAcentral's name for it is "bacterial SSU rRNA". It matches the Rfam family "Bacterial small subunit ribosomal RNA", at positions 12 to 526 of the family's 1533-position model. The record is from RNAcentral.